GGGGAUUUAGCUCAGUGGCAUAAGCGCCUGCCUUACAAGCAGGUGGCGGUUGUGAGUUCGAUCCCUG
Molecule: transfer RNA, 67 nt
Filed under: Cavia porcellus (domestic guinea pig)
Lineage: Eukaryota; Metazoa; Chordata; Mammalia; Rodentia; Caviidae
Rfam family: tRNA
About the family: Transfer RNA (tRNA) molecules are approximately 80 nucleotides in length. Their secondary structure includes four short double-helical elements and three loops (D, anti-codon, and T loops).
Source: Rfam by way of RNAcentral